Non-coding RNA from Poecilia reticulata (guppy), 622 nucleotides. The record is from RefSeq and is a predicted model, not a curated record. NCBI's taxonomy places the organism in Eukaryota, Metazoa, Chordata, Actinopteri, Cyprinodontiformes, Poeciliidae.
UUUCUUGUUGUUGUUCCCUCAAAGCUUCCAGGAGUACAAAGCUCUGCAGAUCCUGAUUGGUCUGCUGACUGAACAGCCUGAAGAGGUUCUGGUCAAUGUAGUGGGAGCUCUGGGACAGUUUGCUCAGAUACCAGCUAACAAGUCCAUCAUCUGCAACGGUGGGGGCAUGAGGGCUCUCAUUAAUCUGCUCAAUGGAACAAACCAGGCUCUGCUUGUAAAUGUAGCAAAGGCUGUGGGAGCUUGUGCCACAGACAGGGACAAUGUGGUGUAAGUUUAUCUCUUCCUUUUCAAUGUUUCAUGCUCUGCUUAUAUUUACAGUAGGUCCAUGAGGCACCUGUUAAAAUGUGAUUAGUGGCUUAUUUCCACUAAUCAGUGAAUCAGCCCAAACUCACUCCUGGCUGUUUAUUGAUGUCAUGUGUUUUUACAAGGAAAUGAGACCAAUUGUAGGAUGUAAACACAGCCUCAUUAACCUGUCYUGGGCUGCUGCUCAGAAAGAUUCCUGUAGUUUYCAUUGGGAACUGUGCAGUGUUUUACUAUAGCCAUGCGGUCGCUGAGCUGCUCAGACUAACGUGCCUAAAGCCCUGCCCUGUCCAAAACUCCACAGCUGGAAAACCCAGAGACG